GCGGGGUUGUGGCUCAGUGGUAAAGCGUUCACCUAGCAUGUGCAAGGCCCUGGGUUUGAUCCUCAGCACCGCA
RNAcentral lists this transfer RNA (73 nucleotides) under Marmota monax (woodchuck). RNAcentral describes it as "tRNA.Ala". The record is from RNAcentral. Lineage: Eukaryota; Metazoa; Chordata; Mammalia; Rodentia; Sciuridae.